RNAcentral lists this transfer RNA (72 nucleotides) under Chloroflexota bacterium. RNAcentral's name for it is "Chloroflexi bacterium tRNA-Gln". It matches the Rfam family "tRNA". From Rfam's summary of the family: Transfer RNA (tRNA) molecules are approximately 80 nucleotides in length. Their secondary structure includes four short double-helical elements and three loops (D, anti-codon, and T loops). The record is from RNAcentral. Lineage: Bacteria; Bacillati; Chloroflexota.
UGGGGAGUGGCCAAGCGGUAAGGCAGCGGAUUUUGGAUCCGAAGAUCGCAGGUUCGAAUCCUGCCUCCCCAG